This is a non-coding RNA of Pangasianodon gigas (Mekong giant catfish), 73 nucleotides long. The record is from the annotation of a GenBank genome assembly. NCBI's taxonomy places the organism in Eukaryota, Metazoa, Chordata, Actinopteri, Siluriformes, Pangasiidae.
UUAGCUGGCUUUUGGGCUGAAAUGGCUGACACUGUUAAUGCUGAGGUGAUUUUGCAAAAGUGUUUUGAUGUUC